AGAAUUUUCAUUUCCAGUGAGAUCCCAGGUGAUGUUGAUGCUCCAGGGACCCCAUUUUGAGAACCUGUACACUAAAUCCAAGUUUUCAGCCAGUUAGUUCAUUAGAAUGUCCCUGGAGCCUAUAAAACAAGUUCCCUGGACCACCCCCAGAGGUUCCAGUCAGUCUGAGCAGGACAGCUGUCUGGAGACAUCAUUCUUCAAAAAUUUUGCUGGGUGUCACCUUCACCACAGCCCAGUUCUGCGACAUUGGACAUGUUGCUAGCCGCUGUCUUCUCACCUGUGCAAGGACCAUCAUGUUCACCAUUUGCCAGAUCUCAGUGGGGUGUGCAUGUCCUUCAUAUUUGAUCAAUGGAAACUAUGAAGGACAGUCCAUGAAGACCGUGCAAUGACGACACUUGCUCUGAAGGGAUGAUAUGAGUCUGAAUUCCUGCUGUCAGAAUAAACAGAAAGUCCUUCACUGUUUGAUUAUCCAGCAAGAAAUUCAUGG
This is a long non-coding RNA of Hyaena hyaena (striped hyena), 487 nucleotides long. RefSeq lists it as uncharacterized. The record is from RefSeq and is a predicted model, not a curated record. The transcript has 3 exons. Lineage: Eukaryota; Metazoa; Chordata; Mammalia; Carnivora; Hyaenidae.